UAGGCCAGUGGCUACAGCUCCAAUUAGACCCCUAGCCUGGGAACCUCCAUAUGCCAAGAGAGCGGCCCAAGAAAUAGCAAAAAAGACAAAAAAAAAAACAAAAAAAAAAAAACAAAAAAAAACCUUUGCUAAAUAAUUUCUAGUGCUUAGCCCAAUUCCUGGUACAUAACUGUGAUUUGAUAAAUAUUUACUAACUGUUGAAUGGAUGGCUUAAUUCAUGUGUUUUUACCAUAAUUGCUCUAUAAGGCAAGGAUCCUAAGAAUAAUGUAAUGUAAUUACAGCGAACAACAUUUGAAACUUUGAUUACUUAAUGUCUUAAAAUAUUCUAUUAUGUUCAACAUAGCUACCCCUUUGUGCUAUACGUUGCUCUAGUUGAUUUUUUCUGUUUUUUAAGUGAUUUUUAUUUUUUUCCAUCAUGGCUGGUUUACAGGAUCCUGUCAAUUUCUACUGUACAGCAAAGUGACCCAGUCACACAUAUAUAUACAUUUUUAAACUUUUUUAGAUAUUACGCCCCCCCACCAAAACAAAGCCAUCUAAAGGAGGCUGAUCUAGUAACUGCAGUGACCAAGCAAAUAGCCUCCUCCACCUAUCCAUUCAGAAACAGUUACAGACAAAAAUUGUUAAUUAAAAGUUUAUCCUUUCAAGUGUCCUAAAUGAAAUAUGUGUAAAAGAUAUUUAACUAAGUUGCUGGCAUAUAUACUUCUGAAAUUAUUAAAAGCUUUACAUUGCACCAACAUGUCGGGGAAACCCUAUGUUGGAACUUGGGAGCAAAUAACAGAAAACCAAGGCUCUUAUCCGUUUUACUGAGCAGCGAUUGUUAUAGCAGAGUUCUCUAAGUGUGUCUCUGGACCCCUUGGAGUUCAUAUUAUGUGUUUUUACCCAGCGGUGGAUAAAACCUCUGGAGCUUUAAUACCAAGGGCAGUGGCAUCAAAGUGCACUAGUAGUCAUUUACUCUUCACCAUUGUAUACUUGCAGUUAAAAAUAAAAAGUGAGGGAGUUCCCUUCGUGGCUCAGCGGUUAACUAAUCUGACUAGGAACCAUGAGGUUGCGGGUUUGAUCCCUGGCCUUGCUCGGUGGGUUAAGAAUCCAGUGUUGCCAUGAGCUGUGGUGUAGGUUGUAGACGAGGCUCAGAUCCUGAGUUGCUGUGACUCUGGUGUAGGCUUGGCAGCUACAGCUCUGAUUGGACCCCUAGCCUGGGAACCUCCAUAUGCUGUGGGUGCGGCCCUA
RNAcentral lists this long non-coding RNA (1227 nucleotides) under Sus scrofa (pig). RNAcentral describes it as "lncRNA (ENSSSCG00000048795.1, ENSSSCG00035011707.1)". Lineage: Eukaryota; Metazoa; Chordata; Mammalia; Artiodactyla; Suidae. The record is from RNAcentral.